GUGGCUGACUGAUCACGGUGUUCGCUUUGUAAGCGAAUGGUCCUGGGUUCGAUUCCCAUC
RNAcentral lists this transfer RNA (60 nucleotides) under Culex quinquefasciatus (southern house mosquito). It matches the Rfam family "tRNA", at positions 7 to 64 of the family's 71-position model. From Rfam's summary of the family: Transfer RNA (tRNA) molecules are approximately 80 nucleotides in length. Their secondary structure includes four short double-helical elements and three loops (D, anti-codon, and T loops). Lineage: Eukaryota; Metazoa; Arthropoda; Insecta; Diptera; Culicidae. The record is from Rfam by way of RNAcentral.